CCUCUGCGGCUGCUGAUUGGCUGAGCGGGAAGGUCCUUUUACGACACAAACACAAGGAAGUGUAGCACAGCAGGGGACUGACACAGAGAUAGCAGUAGCAGCAGGGGAAUGUGGAGGAAAAUUCUAGCUGCCCGAUGUCAUGACUAGAAGGAUGAUUUGCUCCUACUGAUCUAAAUAGGAGGUGAAGACAGAUCGGCCCCCAAGUGGUGACAAAAGGGAGAUGAUCUUAAUUUCUGCAGUGUACAAGAAAAGAACGGUCCUUACAAGAAAAUAUUGGAUAACUUCCAACCUACAUGUGAUCAGGACUUGUGCCAGUCCUGUAGUUCUGUACCACAUUCAAGAAUGAGAAAGCUCAGGAUGAACCAUGCUAUAAAAAGGGGGUGGUGUGGUAAAUGAAGUUCUGUGAUAAUAAAGAG
This is a long non-coding RNA of Hyla sarda, 416 nucleotides long. RefSeq lists it as uncharacterized. The record is from RefSeq and is a predicted model, not a curated record. The transcript has 4 exons. NCBI's taxonomy places the organism in Eukaryota, Metazoa, Chordata, Amphibia, Anura, Hylidae.